This 742-nucleotide ribosomal RNA is filed under the name uncultured bacterium. RNAcentral's name for it is "bacterial SSU rRNA". It matches the Rfam family "Bacterial small subunit ribosomal RNA", at positions 94 to 823 of the family's 1533-position model. The record is from RNAcentral.
AGCGGCGGACGGGUGAGUAACACGUGGGUAACCUGCCCAAGAGACUGGGAUAACACCUGGAAACAGAUGCUAAUACCGGAUAACAACACUAGACGCAUGUCUAGAGUUUGAAAGAUGGUUCUGCUAUCACUCUUGGAUGGACCUGCGGUGCAUUAGCUAGUUGGUAAGGUAACGGCUUACCAAGGCAAUGAUGCAUAGCCGAGUUGAGAGACUGAUCGGCCACAUUGGGACUGAGACACGGCCCAAACUCCUACGGGAGGCAGCAGUAGGGAAUCUUCCACAAUGGACGAAAGUCUGAUGGAGCAACGCCGCGUGAGUGAAGAAGGGUUUCGGCUCGUAAAGCUCUGUUGGUAGUGAAGAAAGAUAGAGGUAGUAACUGGCCUUUAUUUGACGGUAAUUACUUAGAAAGUCACGGCUAACUACGUGCCAGCAGCCGCGGUAAUACGUAGGUGGCAAGCGUUGUCCGGAUUUAUUGGGCGUAAAGCGAGUGCAGGCGGUUCAAUAAGUCUGAUGUGAAGGCCUUCGGCUCAACCGGAGAAUUGCAUCAGAAACUGUUGAACUUGAGUGCAGAAGAGGAGAGUGGAACUCCAUGUGUAGCGGUGGAAUGCGUAGAUAUAUGGAAGAACACCAGUGGCGAAGGCGGCUCUCUGGUCUGCAACUGACGCUGAGGCUCGAAAGCAUGGGUAGCGAACAGGAUUAGAUACCCUGGUAGUCCAUGCCGUAAACGAUGAGUGCUAAGUGU